This 429-nucleotide ribosomal RNA is filed under the name bacterium. RNAcentral describes it as "partial 16S ribosomal RNA". It matches the Rfam family "Bacterial small subunit ribosomal RNA", at positions 355 to 776 of the family's 1533-position model. The record is from RNAcentral.
UAGGGAAUCUUCCACAAUGGACGCAAGUCUGAUGGAGCAACGCCGCGUGAGUGAAGAAGGUUUUCGGAUCGUAAAGCUCUGUUGUUGGUGAAGAAGGAUAGAGGCAGUAACUGGUCUUUAUUUGACGGUAAUAAACCAGAUAGUCACGGCUAACUACGUGCCAGCAGCCGCGGUCAUACGUAGGUGGCAAGCGUUGUCCGGAUUUAUUGGGCGUAAAGCGAGCGCAGGCGGAAUGAUAAGUCUGAUGUGAAAGCCCACGGCUCAACCGUGGAACUGCAUCGGAAACUGUCAUUCUUGAGUGCAGAAGAGGGGAGUGGAAUUCCAUGUGUAGCGGUGGAAUGCGUAGAUAUAUGGAAGAACACCAGUGGCGAAGGCGGCUCUCUGGUCUGCAACUGACGCUGAGGCUCGAAAGCAUGGGUAGCGAACAGG